CCGACGCACGGGUGAGUAACACGUAUCCAACCUGCCGUCUACUCUUGGCCAGCCUUCUGAAAGGAAGAUUAAUCCAGGAUGGGAUCAUGAGUUCACAUGUCCGCAUGAUUAAAGGUAUUUUCCGGUAGACGAUGGGGAUGCGUUCCAUUAGAUAGUAGGCGGGGUAACGGCCCACCUAGUCAACGAUGGAUAGGGGUUCUGAGAGGAAGGUCCCCCACAUUGGAACUGAGACACGGUCCAA
Molecule: ribosomal RNA, 241 nt
Filed under: uncultured bacterium
Lineage: Bacteria
Description: partial 16S ribosomal RNA
Rfam family: Bacterial small subunit ribosomal RNA
Source: RNAcentral